RNAcentral lists this ribosomal RNA (374 nucleotides) under uncultured organism. Its description in RNAcentral is "partial 16S ribosomal RNA". It matches the Rfam family "Bacterial small subunit ribosomal RNA", at positions 527 to 896 of the family's 1533-position model. The record is from RNAcentral.
GUAGGUGGCAAGCGUUGUCCGGAAUUACUGGGCGUAAAGCGCGCGCAGGUGGUUCUUUAAGUCUGAUGUGAAAGCCCCCGGCUCAACCGGGGAGGGUCAUUGGAAACUGGGGAACUUGAGUGCAGGAGAGGAAAGUGGAAUUCCACGUGUAGCGGUGAAAUGCGUAGAUAUGUGGAGGAACACCAGUGGCGAAGGCGACUUUCUGGCCUGUAACUGACACUGAGGCGCGAAAGCGUGGGGAGCAAACAGGGAUUAGAUACCCUGGUAGUCCACGCCGUAAACGAUGAGUGCUAAGUGUUGGGGGGGUUUCCCGCCCCUCAGUGCUGCAGCUAACGCAUUAAGCACUCCGCCUGGGGAGUACGGUCGCAAGACUG